RNAcentral lists this long non-coding RNA (397 nucleotides) under Drosophila guanche. Lineage: Eukaryota; Metazoa; Arthropoda; Insecta; Diptera; Drosophilidae. The record is from RNAcentral.
GGAGAAGGCUGCAAUCACAGGGCAUUCCGCUCUCCAGCUGGACGACCACAUAGUUGAGCUCAAUUUGGGUAUACGAUACCGAUAUCGUAAAAUAGUGCUAAAUCGGCUCUUUGUGUAUCUUCGUCCUCCAACUCCAUGACGUCGAAGAGCGUUUUGAUUCUCUGAAAAUACAAUCACGAACAUAUGUACAUAGGUAAGCAGAGAGCAGCUGGCAGAGUCAAUGUAAUACACCUUACCUUCUCAGUGAAUCGCUUGACAGUAUACACAGAUGCUGCGGCAAAAAGGAAUCCCUGAUCACUGCCUGGCAUCAGUUGCAAGUGCAGAGACAGUCGGCGGAGGGCAUCCAUUACAGCUCUAAACAUCCAGACGAAUGGCCCGGCGAGCUGGCGCUAAAAUC